This 433-nucleotide ribosomal RNA is filed under the name uncultured bacterium. Its description in RNAcentral is "partial 16S ribosomal RNA". It matches the Rfam family "Bacterial small subunit ribosomal RNA", at positions 29 to 507 of the family's 1533-position model. The record is from RNAcentral.
AACGAACGCUGGCGGCAUGCCUAACACAUGCAAGUCGAACGAGACCUUCGGGUCUAGUGGCGCACGGGUGCGUAACGCGUGGGAACCUGCCCUUAGGUUCGGAAUAACUCCCCGAAAGGGGUGCUAAUACCGGAUAAUGUCUUCGGACCAAAGAUUUAUCGCCUUUGGAUGGGCCCGCGUUGGCUUAGCUAGUUGGUAGGGUAAAAGCCUACCAAGGCGACGAUCCAUAGCUGGUCUGAGAGGAUGAUCAGCCACACUGGGACUGAGACACGGCCCAGACUCCUACGGGAGGCAGCAGUGGGGAAUAUUGGACGAUGGGCGAAAGCCUGAUCCAGCAAUGCCGCGUGAGUGAUGAAGGCCUUAGGGUUGUAAAGCUCUUUUACCCGGGAUGAUAAUGACAGUACCGGGAGAAUAAGCACCGGCUAACUCCGUG